RNAcentral lists this long non-coding RNA (748 nucleotides) under Homo sapiens (human). RNAcentral's name for it is "HSALNT0144072". Lineage: Eukaryota; Metazoa; Chordata; Mammalia; Primates; Hominidae. The record is from RNAcentral.
AAAUACAGUAUGUUGUGGUUAUAACUAAGCCUUAAUUUAUGGAAGGAAGAAAUGUGGAGACUCAUACCCUUUAAUUUGAUAGGUGAGGUAACAGAGAAGAUAAAAGAGUUUCCCACAAUCAUGACACCAGCUAGAGGCAAAGUUAACACUGGAACCCAGGUCUACUCAUUGCAGGACGGGUAAAUUGAUGUGAGUGGGGUGAACACAGUCGAGGAGUGAGAUCUGGCUUUGAAUCCUGACUUUUCCCCUUGACAGCUCUGUGACCUUGGCCAUGUCACUUAACUUCCCUCCGCUUCAAUGUCUUCAUCUACAAACCAGGAAUAAUAGUAUAUAUCACAAAAUGUAUCUAAGAUACAAAUGAGACACUGUGAAGUCCUUGGCACAGACUUAUAAAAGAAGUAGAACACACAUGCUUCCCAUUAGGUGAGAAAGAAACAUGCCUGAGAGUCUAAUGGAUUACUCAAGUCUGUGCUGCCAAGGAAGAACAGAAUCUUUAGAUAUCAUGUGUUUUACAAAUUGAAGUUUGUGGAAACCCUGCAUCAAACAAGUCUAUUGGUGACAUUUUCCCAACAGCAUUUGCUCACUUUGUGUUUCUGUGUCACAUGUUGAUAAUUCUUACAAUAUUUGAAACCUUUUUUAUUAUUAUACAUGUUCUGGUGAUCUGUGAUCAGUGAUCUUUGAUGUUACUACUGUAAUUUUUUUGGAUGCUGUGAACUGUGCCCAUAUAAAAUGGUGAAUUAAAUCAAUA